This 977-nucleotide ribosomal RNA is filed under the name Arthrobacter sp. Its description in RNAcentral is "bacterial SSU rRNA". It matches the Rfam family "Bacterial small subunit ribosomal RNA". Lineage: Bacteria; Bacillati; Actinomycetota; Actinomycetes; Micrococcales; Micrococcaceae. The record is from RNAcentral.
UUUAAAUAUCCGACAUAUCAGAUAUUGGGCGUAAGAGCUCGUAGGCGGUUUGUCGCGUCUGCUGUGAAAGACCGGGGCUCAACUCCGGUUCUGCAGUGGGUACGGGCAGACUAGAGUGCAGUAGGGGAGACUGGAAUUCCUGGUGUAGCGGUGAAAUGCGCAGAUAUCAGGAGGAACACCGAUGGCGAAGGCAGGUCUCUGGGCUGUAACUGACGCUGAGGAGCGAAAGCAUGGGGAGCGAACAGGAUUAGAUACCCUGGUAGUCCAUGCCGUAAACGUUGGGCACUAGGUGUGGGGGACAUUCCACGUUUUCCGCGCCGUAGCUAACGCAUUAAGUGCCCCGCCUGGGGAGUACGGCCGCAAGGCUAAAACUCAAAGGAAUUGACGGGGGCCCGCACAAGCGGCGGAGCAUGCGGAUUAAUUCGAUGCAACGCGAAGAACCUUACCAAGGCUUGACAUGAACCGGUAAUACCUGGAAACAGGUGCCCCGCUUGCGGUCGGUUUACAGGUGGUGCAUGGUUGUCGUCAGCUCGUGUCGUGAGAUGUUGGGUUAAGUCCCGCAACGAGCGCAACCCUCGUUCUAUGUUGCCAGCGGUUCGGCCGGGGACUCAUAGGAGACUGCCGGGGUCAACUCGGAGGAAGGUGGGGACGACGUCAAAUCAUCAUGCCCCUUAUGUCUUGGGCUUCACGCAUGCUACAAUGGCCGGUACAAAGGGUUGCGAUACUGUGAGGUGGAGCUAAUCCCAAAAAGCCGGUCUCAGUUCGGAUUGGGGUCUGCAACUCGACCCCAUGAAGUCGGAGUCGCUAGUAAUCGCAGAUCAGCAACGCUGCGGUGAAUACGUUCCCGGGUCUUGUACACACCGCCCGUCAAGUCACGAAAGUUGGUAACACCCGAAGCCGGUGGCCUAACCCUUGUGGGGGGAGCCGUCGAAAGUGGGACCGGCGAUUGGGACUAAGUCGUACCAAAGGUAAACUCA